RNAcentral lists this ribosomal RNA (485 nucleotides) under uncultured bacterium. Its description in RNAcentral is "partial 16S ribosomal RNA". It matches the Rfam family "Bacterial small subunit ribosomal RNA", at positions 28 to 507 of the family's 1533-position model. The record is from RNAcentral.
GAUGAACGCUAGCGAUAGGCUUAACACAUGCAAGUCGAGGGGCAGCGAGGGUAGCAAUACCUGUCGGCGACCGGCGCACGGGUGAGUAACGCGUAUGUAACCUGCCCGCAACAGGGGGAUAACCCGGCGAAAGUCGGACUAAUACCGCAUAAAACAGGGGUCCCGCAUGGGAAUAUUUGUUAAAGAUUUAUCGGUUGCGGAUGGGCAUGCGUACCAUUAGGUAGUUGGUGAGGUAACGGCUCACCAAGCCUUCGAUGGUUAGGGGUUCUGAGAGGAAGGUCCCCCACACUGGUACUGAGACACGGACCAGACUGCUACGGGAGGCAGCAGUGAGGAAUAUUGGUCAAGGGGCGAGAGCCUGAACCAGCCAAGUCGCGUGAAGGAUGACUGCCCUAUGGGUUGUAAGCUUCUUUUACAAGGGAAUAAAAUGAGAUACGAGUAUUUUAUUGAAUGUACCUUGGGAAUAAGCAUCGGCUAACUCCGUG